This 17041-nucleotide long non-coding RNA is filed under the name Manihot esculenta (cassava). Its description in RNAcentral is "long non-coding RNA (MESC_LNC011636)". Lineage: Eukaryota; Viridiplantae; Streptophyta; Magnoliopsida; Malpighiales; Euphorbiaceae. The record is from RNAcentral.
AACUAAGAGAAUUGAUGUAGAAAACUGAUUGUAUUAUUGAAUGAGAAAUAGCCUUUAAAUAGGCAAACAAAACAACUAAAUCAGAGAAAUAAAAGGAGCACUACUAAGCACUACUGCAUAAUCAGAUGUGCAGAAAAUAAAUGAAUAAAUCCCUACAAACUAGGACAUAUUCUAACUGAAUUCUGACUCAUUAUUCAACAAGUUAAAAUUUUUAUUUUUAUUUUUAAAAAAAUUUAACACAUUUUAAAAAUAUAAUAAAUUUUAUCGCAUUUUAAAGUACAGUAAACUUUAAAUUCAUCUUAAUUCGAAAAAAAUUUUUUACCAAAUCAGAAAUUUAAGAAUUUUUUUAAAUUUUUUUAUCUAUAUUUGAUUAAAAAAAUCCUGCAUUAUAGCUGUAUAAUUUUAGUUUAAGGGUUGAGGUUGUUUAUCCCAUUACCAUUAACACAUUAAAUUUUUUAUUAAUUUUAACUAAAAUAAAAUUGAAUAUAAAAAUAAUUUUCUAGCUAAAUACUUUUAGCUAAAAUAAAAUUAAUAUUCAUAAAUAUUAAAAUUACAAGAAUAAAUUUUAGCUAAAAUUAAUUUAAUAUCAUUAUUUUAGGAAAUUUUAACUAAAAAGUUUAAAAUUCAACUUUAAUUAUUAGCUAAUAUUUUAUUUUUGUAAUCUUAUUAAAAUUAAUAAUCAUGAUUAAUUUAUUAGCUAAUUGAUUAAUCUUAUUAACCAAAAUAAUGAUUAAUUUUAUAAAAUAUUUUAGAUAAUAAAUAUUAAUUUUAUUAGCUAAAAGAUUAAUAAUUAAAAAAAUAAAUUACACUAAUUAAUUUUAGUUAAAAUAUUAAUUUUUCUGUUUAGAACUAUAUCUAAUCACAAUUUGCACGCGCUAUUAAUUUCCUGUUUUAUUACAAAUGCAAAUGCACGUUGCAAAUUUUAAAAUUUUAAAUGAAUCUUAUAAUUUUAGGAAAUUUCAAAUCAAUAUUUAGAAAAUGUUCUAUCACAACUGUGUGUAGAAAUUUUUUUUAAUAUUUAAUUUUUAUUAUUUGUAUAUUAAAUUAAAUAGAAUAUUAAACAGAUUUAACAUUUUUUUAUAUUAAAUUAAAAAUUAAAUAAAAAUGAUAAAUAAUAUAAAAAUAAAAAGGCAAACCCAAUAUUCCCCUACCCACAUUUAUAUAUAUAUUUAAGAUAAUUUAAAAAAAGUAAGGAUGGAAGCAAUCAUGCAAGCACUUGAUCAUCAUUCUCAACUAUAGUGAUCCUGACCUCACCUUUUCAACAAGAUAUCGAGAUAUGCCUUAAAAGUAACCUCAAACUCUUUGACCACUCUGGCCUUUAAAUUUUCUUGUUUCUGUCUCUAUAUUAUUAUUUAAGAAAAUUUAUUAUUUAAUCUAGUAGAUAUUAUCAUUAUUAAUAAAUUAGUUUCUAUAUUUUCAAAAAUUUAUUAAAACGUCCUUAUUUUUUUUCUCUGUCAAUGAAAUAGUUCUCCCGUUUUAUUUUCUGUUAAAAAUAGAUGAGAUAUAAAAGAUAAAAAUUUUAAAAUUCAAUUUUACCCUCACAUAAAAUCUCUUAUUUAGCUCAUGAGUAUUACUAUUAUUAAUAAGUUAGUCCCUAUAUUUUCAGAAAUCUAUUAAAACGUUUUUAUAUUUUUUCAGAUCUAUUAAAAUAUUUUUAUCUUUUCUCAAAUUUAUUAAAACAUUCUUAUCGUUUCUUCCCGUCAACGAAAUAGUCCAUCCUCUUCAAAAGAAAAAGAAAAAAAAAGAAAAAGAAGAUGAUGAUGAUGAUGAAGAAGAAAAAAGAAGAAAUAAGAAGGAGAAGAAGAUAAUGAUAAUGAAGAAGAAGAUGAUGAUGAUGAAGAAGAAAGAAGAAAAGAAGAAGAAGCAAAAGGAAGAGGAGGAGGAGAGUAAUUUGGUCUUUUAUUAUACUUUUAACGGUAGAAAUAGACGGAAGAACUAUUUUGUUGAUGAAAAUAAAAGAUAAAAACGUUUUAAUAGGUUUCUGAAAAUGUAAAAACUGACUUGUUGAUGGCAAUACUUAGAAACUAAAUUAUAAAUCUCUUUAUUAUUUAUUAUUGAGAACAAAAGAAAAAAAAAUUAAUUAAAAGCUUUAAAAGGAGACAAAAUCUUAAUAGGCGAAUCCUUUUGAAUUUUUAGCAUUCGCAUUGAAAAUGUAUAUAUAGUAACCGUCAUGUUAAAAUUGAACACUUAAUCUGCAUUUCUAACAUUUAAAAUUAAUAAGCAACGGAAAAAGUUUUGUCACCACCACUUAAUUCUUUCUUGUACUUGAAGAAAUGAAAACAAAAGUUCUUCCUACAAUCAUUUUAUAUUUGAUAAAUUUAAGGUACAGGGGAUCAUUAAGAUAUUCUUGGUUAUAACAUAAUUUAUUUGGAUGGUUGCAUUUUCUUAUUGAUUUGUAUUUAAAUUAUUAUUUAUAUAUUUAUUGCCAUUUUUUUUUUUGAAAUAAGGGGUUGGGGGAGUCGAACCUUAGACCUGUCAAGAUUACAGGAUGCACUUUCCACCAGGCUAAACCUUGGAGUGCAUAUAUUUAUUGCCAUUGACUUGGUGACUUUAUUUUGCUUAAACAAAAAUUUCACUAUUAUUGAAUUAUUCAAUUUAUUUUAUUAAAAAUUUCAUGCAUAUUUAUUUACAGGUAAUUUACUUACUAUCAUAUUAUCCUUGCAUCAAAUAAAGGCGUCAUUUCCUCAAUUUCAUGUUUAUGCUCUUUACAUUAUUUAGCAAAUGAAUGCUGGGCUAAAAAGUUUCUGCAAUCAAUUGUUAUCAAUUAAAGCGCCUCUUGUAUACAUAGAUAAUGUCCAUAAACUUAAUUUUAACAUGUAAUUUUAUUCCAGUUCAAAAAAAAAAAGUAAUUUUACUUUAAUUUAUUUUUUUUAUAAAUAUUAGAUAUUUUAUAUGAAUUAUUUGAUUUUAAUAAUAUAUAUAAUUUAUUUUUAUUGAUCAAAAUUAUUGUAAUUGAUAUAUUAUAUUUCUUUAUGUAUUAUCUUGAGAUUAUACAAUUGAUAUAUUAUAUUUCUUUAUGUAUUAUCUUGAGAUUAUACAAUUAAACAAAAUAUAUUUAAAGAUAAAUAAAUAAAUUUAGUAAUAAAUUAAAUUUGAAAUAUUUGGAUUUUUCUGAUGGAUUUGUGACGGCAUAAGCGGUCACCAUGCUUAGUGACAGAUUUAGAUGAAAUAGUAAUUGAAAGCAUUUUUUUUAAAUUAGCGACGAAAGUUUUUGUUGAUAAAUUUUUUGAUGGUUUUAUCUGUCGAAAAUUUGUGCUAACAUUUUCAACUGUUGUGAAAAUUUGUUGGAAAAAUUUAGCGAAAGAAUUUUAAGUGACGGAUCUUGAUUCAUCGGAAAUCUGUCGCUGAAAGUAUUAGCGAUAGAUUUUGAAUUAUGAGUGACGCUCAUCAUUAAUAGUCUUUUUUAUAGUGAUUUCUACUGAGUCUAGUUGUAACACAUGUGAUAGGUCAAAUAUGUGCCUUUCCAGUAUCGACGUGUGAAACACCGGAUGAACAUGUGAGCACUCUAAUGGUAACUCUAGUCGAUAAGCAACUGCUCAACUCUAUUUAUAAUUUCAAAAGGUCCCACAUAUCAAGAUACCAAUUUACCUUUCUUUUCGAAUCUCAUCACUCCCUUCAUAAAUAUAUAAUCCUCACCUGAAAACUCCACAUCUCGCCUAUUAGGGUCUGCAUAACUCUUCUGUCUACUAAAAACUAUUUUUAAGUGUUCCUGAAUCAAUAGUACUUUUUUUGCUGUAUAUUGAAUCAAAUCAACAUCAUGGACUUUAACUUCACCAACCUCUGUCCUACACAAGGAGAAUUUGCAUUUUCUUCUAUAGAAAGCGUUAUAAAGUGUUAUACAAAUACUGGAGUGAUAACUGUUAUUGUAAGAAAAUUCUAUCAAUGGUAGUUGAUCAUCCCACUAGCCACCAAAAUCUAUGACGCACAUAUGAAACAUAUCUUCUAAUAUUUUUAUAGUCCUCUUAGACUAUCGAUCAGUCUACAAGUGGAAGGCUAUAAUGAAAUUUAAUCGGGUGCCAAGUACCUCUUGUAGCUUCUUCCAAAAUCAAGAAGUGAAUUGAGGUCCUCUAUUUGAUAUUAUUGAAGUUGGAACUCCAUACAACCUAACUAUCUCUCAAACAUACCAUUAACAUAUUGAGUAGCUAAAAAGGUCACCUUCAUAGAUAAAAAAUGAGCUGACUUAGUCAAAUGAUCUAUGAUUACCCAUAUGGAGUCAUAUCCUCUAAUAGUAUGCGGAAAACUAGACACAAAGUCCAUAGUGAUGAUUUUCCAUUUCUAUUUUCGUAUAGGGAUCUCAUGUAGCUUUCCUGAGGACCUCUAGUAUUCAAACCUCACUUUUUGACAUGUUAGGCAUUUAGACAUAAAGUCUACAAUGUGUUUCAUGCCAUUCCACUAAUAUCUGCCUUUCACAUCUUCAUAUAUUUUUAUGUACCCAAGGUGAAUAGUAUAAGGUAUGUAGUUUGCUUCAUGCAUGAUCUCAUUUCUCAAGUGAUCUUCAUUGAGCACACAUACCCAUGACCCUUACAUGAGAGUACCAUCACCAUGAAACCUAAAGUCAUAGUCUUUACUCUAUUGUACCUUUUCUAUAAUUUGCAUCAAUUUUGGGUUCCUGUGUUGUGAAAUUCUAAUUUUAUCUCUGAUCUGAUCAUACUUUAAAGUAUGCUAAAACUGCACCUAACGCAAAUAUAUCAAGUAUCAAAACCUGAUCUAUCAAUUUAUGUAAAUCUUGUAUCAAAUACAUUCUCUCUACUGUUAUGUGCAAGACUACCUGAUUAUUUUCUACUCAAGGCAUAUGCCAUUAUAUUAGCUUUUUCAAGGUGAUACUGAAUAGUGCAAUCAUAAUAUAUUCUUCAAAAGUUCCAUCCAUUUUCUGCCUUAAAUUUAGAUCCCUUUGUUGAAAAAUGUAUUUCAAACUCUUAUGGUCAAUAUAUAUCUUCUAUGUCUCCAAUAAAGAUAAUGUCUCCAUAUCUUUAGUGUAAAGAUUAUAGUCGUUAUUUCAAAGAUCUUGGGUAGGGUAGAUUUCUUUAAUUAUCGAGAUGCAUAGGCUAUCACUCUACCAUUUUGCAUCAAAACACAUUCCAACCCUUGAUGCGUCAUAAUACACUGUAUAUCCACUUCCACUAGUUGGUAAGGUCAACACAAGAGUUGUAGUUAAACAAUCCGUAAGCUUUUAGAAGCUCUCUUCACAAGCAUUAGAUGAAAAAAACUUCACAUUCUUUUGUGUCAAUCGGGGUAAAGGACUGUUUAACUAAACUACCAUUUUGCAUCAAAACACAUUCCAACCCUUGAUGCGUCACAAUACACUAUAUAUCCACUUCCACUAGUUGGUAAGGUCAACACAAGAGUUGUAGUUAUACAGUCCUUAAGCUUUUAGAAGCUUUCUUCACAAGCAUUAGAUGAAAAAAACUUCACAUUCUUUUGUGUCAAUUGGGUUAAAUGAGCUGCAAUUUUGGAGAAAUUCUAUACAAAUCAUUGAUAAUACCCGACUAGGCCUAUGAAACUUUGUACCUCUGUUACUAUAGUAAGGCUUAGCCAAUUAACCACUAUUAGGAAACCCAGAGAUUUACUGCAACCCAAAUACGCAGUGAAAAAAAAAAUAAAAUCUUUGAUUUUCUUUCCGGGAUCCGUGUACUUCAUUUAAUUCGAAAGGAAGGAUAAGCUACUAACCUGUUAGACUCGACGAGAAGAUACAAUCUCGGACUCAAGGUGCUGCUUUUCAACGAACACCCACUAUGGUAUCCACACGAACGUCUUCUAUCCUUCUAGAGUGCUAGCUCUCUCAAGGAUGGAUAGAUUAUGUGCUCCACAAUCUGCAACUAUUAGACUGAAUUUUCUAAAAAUGUUAACUCCACAAUUCGUAGGAGUUUUUAUAUGUUUCAGUCUUUUUGUUUUCCCACAACUCUUUUCGUAAAAGAUUUGUGUUCAGAAUCCACCAUCACGAUCUCACAGAUACUCAAAUAUCUCAUGUGAUAGAGUUGUGUUCAUAACCAACUACCACAAUCUCGCAGAUACUUAAAUAUCUCAUGUGAUAGAGUUCUUUAUCUGUAAAAAUUACAGAUAGACUACAGAUCCCUUUUAAAUAUUAUUAUCUUAUAAUAAUAAAUAAUUAAUAUUAAUAAUAAUAACACUUUAUUAUUAUUAAUUAUACUAAUGGGCCUUUAGCCUAUUAAUAUAGCACAUCAACACUUUUAAAUAUUAUUAUCUUAUAAUAAUAAAUAAUUAAUAUUAAUAAUAAUAACACUUUAUUAUUAUUAAUUAUACUAAUGGGCCUUUAGCCUAUUAAUAUAGCACAUCAACAACGUUCUUGUGUGUGACCCAAUAGGCUCACAUUAAUUGGCAAUAAGUCCAGUCCCACAAGGCUCAUAAAUCAUAAGCAGCCUCUACCAAGAUAUUAUGACUAUCCAAUUAAUAUGAGGAUCGAUAGUCCGAUAAAGCUUAUUAAAUAGAACAUGUAUUAAUCCCUUUGUCACACGAUAUCUAGUUUGAACAUAAAUCAUGGUCAAUGUCAAACUUAUAAUGUUCAAACUUAUGAUUUCUCGAUCUCUAAGUAGACUGAUAAAUUCAAAUGAUAUUGAUCAUACUAUCAAUUCAUUUGAGCAUGGCCAUGCAUUUCUCAGUCUCACUUAUCGAGGGGCCCAAAAGAUAUCUCUCUCAAAGAGAGGGACAAAUUCUAUCUUGAUUGUUCAAUAUCAUCUACAUAAUUUCUAUUAUGCUCAAUCACAACCUUUAUGAUUGUCCGAUUAAAGACAAUGUUUGGUUAUGUCAAAACAUAGAAGUCCUUAUGUUGGAAACUAUGACAAUCUCAAGUCAAAGGAUUAAGACAUAACUACUUUGAGAUUCACUUAUGACAAUAACCUAUGUAGUGAUCUCAGUGCGGGUCCAUUCAAUACUUUGUUCUCUAACAAAUAUAUAUGAUUAUUGAAUUAUAUUAACAUAUACAUAAUUAUCUCAUGAUUAUCAAUCAAUAACCAUACUAGUUGUAUUUUAUUAUUAUCAACAUAAUAAUAAGUAACCAGGGAUGUUAAUCAUUAUUAUGUAACAUGCAAACAAAUAAUAAUGAUAAUAAAACCUCUUUUAUUAAUAACCAAAAUGACAUACAAAAAGGUCCAAAAUAAUGGCCUAGCGCAAAUACACUAACAACCACUGCCUCUAUCUUGUUUGGAUAAACUUAAAUGCCUUUUUUAGAAACCACAUGCCCCAAGGAUGAAAUACUUUGCAACCAAAGUUCACAUUUAGAGAACUUGGCAUACAACUAAUAUUCUCUCAAAGUUUGUAAGACCAUUCUCAAAUGUCAAGCAUGCUCCACUUUAGUUUGAGAAUAUACUAAGAUAUCAUCUAUAAAAAAAAUAACAAAGUGAUCUAUGAAUAAUUUGAACACCCUGUUCAUUAGAACCAUUAAUGUUGUUAGGGCAUAUUAUUGUUGGACCAUUCUCAAUUGAUGAUAGCUUGAUCAUAGGCCAAUUUUGGAGAAGUAUUGAGCCCUUUGUAGUUGAUCAAAUUAAUUAUCAAUCUAAGAAAGUGGAUAUUUAUUCUUAAUUAUCACCUUAUUUAACUGUCUACAAUUGAUGUAAAGCAAUAAAAGACUGAUCUUUCUUUCUCACAAAUAAAACUGGAGCACCCAAGGGAAUGUGCUCGGUUGAAUAAAGCCAUUUUUAAUAACUUCUACAACUACUCCUUCAAUUAUUUAAGUCUGGUGGUGCCACCCUAUAUGGUGGUAUAGAGAUGGGAUUGGUAUCUGAUACAUCAUCAAUGCAUAACUCAGUUUUUCUCUUAGAGGUAACCUUCGUCACUCAUCUGGAAAAGACAUUCGAAAAUUUUUUAACCAUAAAAACAUUAUCCACACUAGGACUUUCUACAGAUGUGUCCCUCACUAACACUAAAUAACCCUGAUAACCCUGCCUCAACAUCUUUUUAACACUGAUAGCGGAUACCAGAUUAUAAGGCCCCACACCUUUAGUGCCAUCAAAAUUGAACUCUUCAGUUUUAGAAAUAUGGAAGAUGACUUGCUUAUUACUAUAAUCCAAUGUGACAUAAUGAUUGGAAAAUUAAUCCUUUCUAAGAAUGAUAUCAAAAUCCAUCACUAGAAGAGGAAUCAAAUCUCCAGAAAGACCCUUAUCAUUCAUUUUAACUGGACAAAAUGGAAAAAUCAUGUUGACCUUAAAAGUGUCACUCAUAGGAGUAGCCUCUAGUAAAGGACAUUUUAAACUUUUAGAAGCUAACUUGAACCUCAUGGAAAACAAAGAGAAACAAGUGAGUGUGUUGCAUCCAGAUCAACCAAAACAUGUGCCUCAAAAGAUUGGACUCAAAGUAUUCUUAAUACCAUGGCAUUGGAUGCAUGUGCAUCUUGAUGGGUGAGAGUAAAUCUACCCUCUGCUUGAUUGCAUAAAACUAUGUAUCUAACCUCUGGUAGAAGCUCUACCCCCUGGAUAUUUUUCCUCCAAAACCUUGACCCUAUUGGCCAUUAAUUGAAUGCUAGCAAAUGCAGAAGCGCCUGAGUAUCCAGGUUGAACUUUAGUAGCCAUAGGAUCUUGUAAUCCUGACUGUUGUCCUCUAAAAAUUGGACACUCCUUGGCAAAAAUGACCUUGCUGGCCACAUUUCAAUAACCAUUAGUUUGCAUGAAGCAGGGGCUUUGGUGAAUGUGGCCACACUAGGGAAAUGGUGCAUAAGAUGAUCCUAAUCCUGAUCCUGAUUCUUACCCUUCUGUUUAGAAUUCUACCUACUGCUGCUAGAGCUAUAAUCCUAUCUAUAACCUCUACUCUUAUGUCUACAUUCCUUUUGUUUAGAUUGUUCAAAACUAGUUUUAUGACCAUUCUGACUAGGGCCUCUGCUAGAACCUAUUGCAAAGCUCCAUUGUGACUUAGAUUUUGUGCACUAGACAAUCCCUCCACUUUAUUCUUCUUAUUUCCACUAUCCUCGACUUCACAUCUCACGUCAACCUGGCGCGCCUCUCUACCACAAUACCAAAAGGCUAGUAUGCUAAUAUGGCUAAGUUGGCAUAUCUAUGUCUAGGCCCUUUAGGAAUCUCUUCACCUUCAUUGCCUUUAUAGUUACAACUGUAGGGGCAUACCUGCUCAAUUCUAGAAACUUUAUAGUAUACUCACAAAUUGACCUACCAUCCUAUUUAAAGGCUUCAAAGGCCCAUUGUUGACUGUCUUUGAAAACUCUAGUACAAAUUUGUUAAUAAACAAUAUAAAAUUGACCCCAAGUAGUUGUGUAAACCAAAAUGAUAAGCGGUUGUCGAAGCCGUAAAAAAUAAACCUAUUAAACAAUCAACAAUUAACUUGUAGAUAGUGGCAAUAGGGUCGAACCACAGGGAUUUGACACUACGGAUUUUCCUACUAAUGACUUGGACAAGUAAAUAACAAGAAAUUAAAAGAGGGGGGUUUUGUUUUGAUGAUUAAAACUAAAUAGCAAGAGAAAGCAAUAAUUUAAAUAGAUGAGAAUUUCAAUAGGAGAAGAAUUCUAGUUGAAGAAUGGAUCUAUUUCAGUUGUUUAGAAUUGAUCAUUGAUCUUUUCGAUACUCCUAUUUAUUUCAAUAAAUUAGUUUAGGAUGUGGAAGACGCUUCUCACAAUCCAAAUUUCUCCUUAGUUCUAGUUUGGUUAGGAAACGUUCGCUAAUCAAACACUAGUUAACAAGUUGCCAAGGAACGUCCUUGGGGCUUUUAGCAUUAAACAAUUGUUAACUGCAUUAAGACUUAGAGAAACCUAAUUCUAACCUUGCCAACUGCGUGGUCAAGUUUAGAUUAUGCAACUUGAUUAAAUGUAUGUUUAAAUAAUCUAAGCAAUUACGGACCUAAAUUAUUCAAACAAUUGUUACUCAAGCAAUUAAAAGCAAUAGGCCUAAAUUGAUUCUAAAAGCAAAGCAACAAUUAUAGAAAGAUCAAAUUGCAUAAAUAUUGAAAAUAAAUAGAAGUUUAACAAUGGAGAUUUAAAUCUCCCAAUUCAUCAUAAAUCUGAAUUUUCCAACUUCAACUAGAAAAGAAAAGUGUUUAGCCACUCAUGGUGGACAAAAUCACAAAAGAAAGAAGAAAAGAAAGAAGAAGAAAAGCUGCUGUAUUUUUAUGCAGAAUUGCUGAAGAUGAGAUGAAGAAGAGAUGCCUUUGCUGGUUUGGAGGCUGCUCUUUUAUAGCUGAAAAUUCCCAUCCAUCUAGGGUUUUGAAAUCCCUUUUUGAUUUGGCUUAUGAUUCCUCUUUUGAUGUUGAAUUUAAUUGCAAAUGGAAUUCCUUAGGUGAGAAACUCUUUCGUGGCUCUUGAAAUUGUGUUGGUAGUGAUUGAGUUGGAUUUGGACUUCUAAAAAUUCGAUAUUCGGUUCCUUGCUGUUUUCCUGCCUCUGCUGUCAAUUUCUGCUGUCAAGGUGAUUUGGGCAAAUCACUUGCUCGAUCUGCCCCAAUCGCUCUCUGGGAUUUCAGUCCAGUUUCUGUCUCUGUUUCUGCGAGUGAUUUGGCCAGUUUCUGCGAGUGAUUUGGGCAAAUCACUUUGAUCAAAUCACUUUUCCAGCUUUUUCUUCACUUUUUCUCCAACUUUCCAAUUUCUUCCUUUUCUGUAAAAACAUAACAAAAACACAAAUUAAGCUAGAAAAAUGUGUAAAUAAACAGUAAUAAAUAUAAUAAAAAUGUGGCUAAAUUAUGCUUGAUCAAAUACCCCCACACCUAGCUUUUUGCUUGUCCUCAAGCAACAAACAACUUAGUCAAUCAAGCCCCUUUUUCUUUUGAGCCUAAGCACCACUUAAUCAGCCCCCCUAGACUCCUCAACUGAAGCAUUAUAGUAUAGAAUACUUGCACUAAGGUUGUUCUACCUUUUCCUUAUUUCCUUUCACCUACCAUGGCCAAGAGAAAGGUUUUUGGUUCAAUCAUGCUUAUUCUUUUUAUAUAAGCUCAAUGCAAUUUCUAAGAGUGAUUUGCCCUUCUUUUGAAUCACAAUUUUUAUUCAGCAGCACUUUAUUUAUUCUUGCCUGAAAAAAUCACUAACCUUUUUACGCGAAGGUGCAUAUUGGUGAUACCCACCCCCGGUUACUCAGUUAGUCACUUGUUCAAGUGGCUACUAGCUCUGUUCAUAGCUUAUUUGGCCAUUGGAACAGGUUUAUGAUUUGUGCUUUGUGCUGGUUUUUCUUUUUCUUUUCUUUUCAUAGUAUUUUGGGCAAAUCUCCUCAUAGGGAAUUACACUAACUUUUUGUUUGCAUGUAUUUAUAUUUUUAUUUCCCUUGUCCAUAGCAAAUCUUAAGGAUUCAAUUCAAGAAAAGAACUCCCUAAGUGAAGGUAUUAAACUAUGAAUGAUUCAAUUUAGGCUUAAAGGGGUGGAAAAUCAAUGGGGUCAUGAGAUAGGAAGCUCUUUUAACCUUAUUAUCUAUGCUGAGUAGAGCAAAAGCUAAGUCAAAAUUCUGUGUGUGCGUGUGAAAAAAAAAUGUGUGAAAAAAGAAAAAAAAUUGGUGUGUGUUUAUGGGGCAAAAAGAUGCAAAAUGAAACAAAAAAGAAAGCAAAAAUAUAAUGUAAUCAAUGCAAAAAUAUAACCUAGCAGUAAAUACCCCCACACAUAUCCCAAACAUUGUCCUCAAUGUUUAAACAUAAAUAUGAAAAAAUUAAUAAGGAGAAGGAAAGGGACUGCCUGGGAUGUGGGUGAUUAGGCCAAGUGAUUUGGGCAAAUCACUGGUCAAAUCACUGUCGUGACUGGUCUGUGGGCAGAAAAUGUUGAACCAGCAGCUGCAACAUGCUUUCCAUGUGCUGCAUCCUGUCUUGAGCCUCCACCGAAUGGUCUUGAGGUGCCUUUUAUGUCCUCCAAGGUCCACCCAAUUGCUUUCUUGUGCUUCCUCAACACAUCAAGGAGCUUUUCCUCUUCUUCUUGGCUGAGCUAGUUAGAAAUAAUUACUGGAAGUGUAUUUCCAGCUCCCAAGUAGGCAUAUUUGAGGUGGCUGGGCAAGGGCUUCAGAUCUGGUGCAUUUUCUGUCUGCUGGUUUGCUUGCUGUCUGCUUGCUGAUGGGGGCAGAUUUGGUGUUGAUUUGGGCAAAUUGAUUUCUGCUUGCACUGAUGAUUUGGGCUGAUCACCUUCUGUCAUGUCUGUCUGCUCACUGAUUUGGGCAGAUUGUCUGGGUGAUUUGGACAGAUCACUGCCCUGAUCACUUUCUGGCAGAUUUUGUUCCAUGGCCUGUUUUUGCAAUUUUUCAGCCCUACUGUCUUGCAGCUCUUUUUCACUCCUCAAUGUGAUGGCACUAGCAUUUUGCCUUGGAUUUAUCUCAGUUUGGGAAGGUAGCUUUCUUUGUGAUUCAAGCUUACUCAAGGAUGAAGCCAUUUGUCCCACUUGUUGUUUCUUUGCUGGCUGUUCAGGAGCUGUUUGAGUGGUGUAUGUUGCUGGUUCAGCGAGUGCAACAGCUUCUGGUUCAGUGGUGUCAAUUUCUGAGGUUGCUGGUGUUUGGACAGCAAUAAGGGAUGUAAUGGUGGCAGAUUCAGCACUUGCUGAUUUUUGGACAGCAGGUUCAACAAUUGCUGAUGUAAUUGUGGAAUUUUCAGCAGGUGGACAGCAACUGUUGUCUCUAUUUGCAGUAGGUUGGACAGGCAGAUUUCCAGCUUGAAUUUCAGCUUCUUCACGUGCAACAGGGGGUUCUGCCAUUGCUGGAUUUUCUGCAGUAAUCUGGAACUUAGUUUCUAGUGUAAUUUUAGCAGUGGCAGGCGUGGCAGUGGGUGAUUUUGCUGGUGCAGAAAAUUCUUCAGCAGGUACAGCAGCAAAAUCUGUAGGUGUAGAAAAAUCUACUGGUGCAGAAAAUUCUGCUGGUGCAGAAAAUUCUACAGUAACCUGGAAUCGGGUAUCUGGUUCAAAUGUAGCAGUGGCUGGUGUGGCAGUAGAUGGACUUGCUGGUGCAGAAAGUGUUACAGCAACAAAUUCAAUAUUUUUGACAGUAGGAGCUAUCUCUUGGGAGGCAGAAGCUUCAACAAGCGUUGUUUGGGCAGUAGCUGGUUCAGCUUCAAGUGUAGUGGUGAUUUGUGCAGCAGACUCAACAGCUCGGUCUGUCUCUUCGUCAUCGUCCCAUAGAUCUUGAAGCUCUUCCUCUCUUCUUAAUAUGUAUGCAUCCACUGAGUUGACCGCUUGAUCCACUUGCUGUUGGAGAAUUUUCCCAGAAAUUUCCAACCUCCUCACCAUCUCUUCAAGUUCCAUAUUGGAGUUUUGAGGUGUUGCUUGGGCUUGAUAGUUUUGGUAGUAGUCAGCCCUUGCAUAGCCAUAAUUCGGAUUGUCCUCCCAACAUGGAUUGUAUUGCAGAUCUCUUUGGUAGUCAUGGUAGUGGUCUGUCCUAGCAUAGUCAUAGCUCAGAUUGUCUCCACAACCUGUAUUGUAUGUGUCAAGGUAGGGAUUAUGUCUUGGCUGUCCAUAGAAUCCUUCAAAUGCAUGUGCUUGUUGAAGUUGUUGGGCUUGACCUAUACCAUAAUUUCUCACCAUAGAGGUUAGUUCAGAAAUUUGAGAAGAGAGAAAAGACAUACCGUAGCCAUGCUUGUAAGCCAUGCUUGUAAGGUCUUGGCAGUGCGUUCAAUUUCUGGAUCGUAAAGAAGAGCUUCUUUACGAUCAGCCCUGGUCAUAAAAGGAAAAUACGUUAGUUAGAUCAAAUCCCCGGCAACGGCGCCAAUUUUUGAUAAGCGGUUGUCGAAGCCGUAAAAAAUAAACCUAUUAAACAAUCAACAAUUAACUUGUAGAUAGUGGCAAUAGGGUCGAACCACAGGGAUUUGACACUACGGAUUUUCCUACUAAUAACUUGGACAAGUAAAUAACAAGAAAUUAAAAGAGGAGGGUUUUGUUUUGAUGAUUAAAACUAAAUAGCAAGAGAAAGCAAUAAUUUAAAUAGAUGAGAAUUUCAAUAGGAGAAGAAUUCUAGUUGAAGAAUGGAUCUAUUUCAGUUUGUUUAGAAUUGAUCAUUGAUCUUUUCGAUACUCCUAUUUAUUUCAAUAAAUUAGUUUAGGAUGUGGAAGACGCUUCUCACAAUUCAAAUUCCUCCUUAGUUCUAGUUUGAUUAGGAAACGUUCGCUAAUCAAACACUAGUUAACAAGUUGCCAAGGAACGUCCUUGGGGCUUUUAGCAUCGAACAACUGUUAACUGCAUUAAGACUUAGAGAAACCUAAUUCUAACCUUGCCAACCGCGUGGUCAAGUUUAGAUUAUGCAACUUGAUUAAAUGUGUGUUUAAAUAAUCUAAGCAAUUACGGACCUAAAUUAUUCAAACAAUUGUUACUCAAGCAAUUAAAAGCAAUAGGCCUAAAUUGAUUCUAAAAGCAAAGCAACAAUUAUAGAAAGAUCAAAUUGCAUAAAUAUUGAAAAUAAAUAGAAGUUUAACAAUGGAGAUUUAAAUCUCCCAAUUCAUCAUAAAUCUGAAUUUUCCAACUUCAACUAGAAAAAUAAAGUGUUUAGCCACUCAUGGUGGAUAAAAUCACAAAAGAAAGAAGAAAAGAAAGAAGAAGAAAAGCUGCUGUAUUUUUCUGCAGAAUUGCUGAAGAUGAGAUGAAGAAGAGAUGCCUUUGCUGGUUUGGAGGCUGCUCUUUUAUAGCUGAAGAUUUCCAUCCAUCUAGGGUUUUGAAAUCCCUUUUUGAUUUGGCUUAUGAUUCCUCUUUUGAUGUUGAAUUUAAUUGCAAAUGGAAUUCCUUAGGUGAGAAACUCUUUCGUGGCUCUUGAAAUUGUGUUGGUAGUGAUUGAGUUGGAUUUGGACUUCUAAAAAUUCGAAAUUCGGUUCCCUGCUGUUUUUCCGCCUCUGCUGUCAAUUUCUGCUGUCAAGGUGAUUUGGGCAAAUCACUUGCUCGAUCUGCCCCAAUCGCUCUCUGGGAUUUCAGUCCAGUUUCUGUCUCUGUUUCUGCGAGUGAUUUGGCCAGUUUCUGCGAGUGAUUUGGGCAAAUCACUUUGACCAAAUAACUUUUCCAGCUUUUUCUUCACUUUUUCUCCAACUUUCCAAUUUCUUCUUUUUCUGUAAAAAUAUAACAAAAACACAAAUUAAGCUAGAAAAAUGUGUAAAUAAACAGUAAUAAAUAUAAUAAAAAUGUGGCUAAAUUAUGCAUGAUCACAAAAACCUCUUAAUAGAUAAGAAUACACCCCAACCAAUUCUUAAAAAAUAUAAAUUUGUUUCAAAUUAGAAUUAGUAACUAAUUCCAACAUUGAAGUAGUGAAAAAACUCAUAAGCAAAAAAUCUCAAAUGGCCAUGAUCACAAAACAUAUAGUCGUUAUUAUAAAAAGAAUCAAAAUGCCAAUUGUAGUAAUUAGUAUUGACAAAAUAGAAGCAAGCGAUUCAAUCAAGUGUCUGAACUCUAAAGAAAAAUUCAUACAAUCAAUUAGACACCUAUCAGCUAGCUGCAUCUCAUUACCAUCAUGUUUGAUCUUGUCUAGAAAUCUAAGUGCAUCCCUAUCCUAUCAUAGGUCGUUCCAAUUAGCUUAUUGUAUGAAAUAAUCUGUUUAAAAGAUUCCACUCUUUAUUGUUGUGGAGGAUUUGCCAUCAACUGAUUUAUCAUAGUAAACAUCUAUUGUAAUCUAAUAUAGCGAUGGUUAUGGGAUCUACAAGAUCAUAAUCCAUAUGUGGCUAUGGUGGCGGCUGCUCUUUAGCUUAAGCAUCUUUUAGCCUCCUACCAUGCUGUCUAGGAGUUGAAGUCUCAAUAUGAGUAGAUGCCUCAUCUUUUGCAUCUGACUCCUGUACCAUAGUAGGUCUCCACUCCCUACGCAUCACUUCUUGAAACUAAAUUCAUAUAAUCAACAUACUACAAUAUUUAGAGAUCUAAACAUAUAAGACGAAAGAAAUUUACAUAAACUAAAUCUAAUAUAAACUUUUAGAAGCAACGAUUAUAAACAAGUAUGAACAACAAUCCUAUAAUCCACAUGUGACAACCUACAUGCAAUUUUCAAGAUUUUAAGUUUAAGAUCCAAUACCAACUUUGUCACGAUCCAACUUUGGACCGAACCAACAUUAGGACUGGGGCUAACCUAAAGCCUCCAAACUCUGUAGUAAGCCAUUAUCUCUCAACUUACAAUUAAGAAACAACUAGAAAUGCUCAAAAUCAAGAAAUUAAAAGGACAUAGUUCCACCAUUGACUUAACAUAUCAAUGGAGAGAAAAUUUACUCGACUUAUAAAUGAAUAAAUUAUAACAAUUUGGAGAGCUCAACUCACCCAAACAAUCCACAACAUUCUCAAAUAAUCACAUGAUAAGUAAUAACAUUAUAGAGAGCUCGGCUCUCUAAAAGAAGUCCAAUAUCAUGAAAUAUAUUAGUUGAAAUAAAGAUUCUUACUACCUAGGGGUUACAUUCAACAUUCAUUAUGGAAUUCACUAUGGAGUUCUAGAGAUAAAAUUUUAAAAUAUCAAAAUAUAAUAAAAAUGUAGAAAAUUUUGUGUGAAAGAAUUGUAGGUCAAUUCGCAAAGAAGUCCACAUGUCAUCUGGAGAAAAAUAUUUGAACAGAGUGAGCGUUAUACUCAAGAAGUAUAGAUAUUAAUUAUAAUCAUAAUUCUAUAACUAUAAUUACUAAUGCAAUACUAUCAAUGAAAAUGUAUCAAUCAAUUAAUCACACAAUCUUUACACAAAAGGAUAAAUUGGAGCGAGUUACACACUCAUCUAUAAUAAAUAUUUGGAGCCAACCCCAUAUCUUGGCUCUCUUAAUCCAACAUGUCCUCCCAUACCAUUCUAUGAGAUUAGCUGAAAUAUACCGUUGUACUUACCUUGUAGUGUUGAGAGAAAACAAAAUAUAGUAUCAUACCUACCUCCCCUAUCCAUAUCCUUGGGAGUCAGUGAGAUAAUGAGUCAUACCUACCGCAAGACUCUACAUCCAUCUAUAUAUAUGUAAUCUCCUAUUUAUUGAAGGCAGCACAAUAUAAAAUAAAUAAUGCAAAGAAUAGAUGGUGUUCCUAAUAUAUUAACUAAGUACAUAAUAUAAGUGAUGUAUCAACAUGUUAGAUAAAUAUAAAUAAUAUUAAAUUUAUAAAGAUAAUUAAUAUUCAACUCAUAAAAUAGGGUGACUCAUUACCUAACAGUCUUAAAAGAUGGCUAAUUUAGAUUAGCUAUAUAAAGUCAUCAAAAUAUUAUUAAAGACGAACCAUAA